GUUUUGACAAGUCUUUGGCAGAAUUCAGGCACCUCAUUGCUCAGGCUGGGCUAUUCUGACAAAGCUGGCUUGUUGAGAAAGUUGUUUUCCUCUGAGGAUACCUAUGUCCCAGCAGAUGGUUGGAUGGCCAGCAUAGCUUGGUGCUGCACCGUGCUGCAUGGAUGGGAUCCUCCUUUAAAACUCCGCUGGUGCUGUUCACAAAAAGAUCAGGCUGAGGAUGAGGACACCUGCAUUGCAGUCUCAGCAGCCUCCUCCCCUUCCUGGGACAUGAUGACCUGGUUGUCCUCAAGAGAAUGACAAAGAGACUGAAUUUUAUAAAACAUCAGAAUAAUGCUGCAAAGGCCCAGAUAAACAAAUUUUCAUACUGUGUGGUUGUGCCUGUCAGCAAUGAGUGAUACACCAAAUAUAAUGGAAGUUGUGGAGAUUUCAGCCUUCCUACAUCUUCAGUUCAGGCAUUCAGGGCCAACUGUCAAAGGAGAAAUUUGGUCAUAUUGGAAAAGACUGAGCACUGUUUGCAGAAACUGAAAGGAUUUACUUAGUUUUUUUCCCUAUUUCUAUAUUUAAGAUAAUUUGCCAUUCCAGAGCUGUUUCCCAACAUAGCAACUGAGACCCCAUGUGGCACCUGGGAAGGUAAAAAAUGUGGACAUUUUAAAGAAACCAGAAAACAUUUUCUUUUUAUUUUAUCUUGUAAAUGCAUUUGCGCUUUGCUUAAACAACACAGCAAGACAUUUCAUAUAUUCUGUUCCUAGCAAUAGACCAGAUCCUCAGCUGGUGUGAUUCUGUAUCCUUCC
RNAcentral lists this long non-coding RNA (791 nucleotides) under Junco hyemalis (dark-eyed junco). Its description in RNAcentral is "lncRNA (ENSJHYG00000017657.1)". The record is from RNAcentral. Lineage: Eukaryota; Metazoa; Chordata; Aves; Passeriformes; Passerellidae.